ACAUGCAAGUCGAGGGGCAUCAGGAACUUUGCUUGCUUUCUUUGCUGGCGACCGGCGCACGGGUGAGUAACACGUAUCCAACCUGCCCUUUACUCGGGGAUAGCCUUUCGAAAGAAAGAUUAAUACCCGAUAGCAUAAUGAUUCCGCAUGGUUUCAUUAUUAAAGGAUUCCGGUAAAGGAUGGGGAUGCGUUCCAUUAGGUUGUUGGUGAGGUAACGGCUCACCAAGCCUUCGAUGGAUAGGGGUUCUGAGAGGAAGGUCCCCCACAUUGGAACUGAGACACGGUCCAAACUCCUACGGGAGGCAGCAGUGUGGAAUAUUGGUCAAUGGGCGCUAGCCUGAACCAGCCAAGUAGCGUGAAGGAUGAAGGCUCUAUGGGUCGUAAACUUCUUUUAUAUAAGAAUAAAGUGCAGUAUGUAUACUGUUUUGUAUGUAUUAUAUGAAUAAGGAUCGGCUAACUCCGUGCCAGCAGCCGCGGUAAUACGGAGGAUCCGAGCGUUAUCCGGAUUUAUUGGGUUUAAAGGGAGCGUAGGUGGACUGGUAAGUCAGUUGUGAAAGUUUGCGGCUCAACCGUAAAAUUGCAGUUGAUACUGUCAGUCUUGAGUACAGUAGAGGUGGGCGGAAUUCGUGGUGUAGCGGUGAAAUGCUUAGAUAUCACGAAGAACUCCGAUUGCGAAGGCAGCUCACUGGACUGCAACUGACACUGAUGCUCGAAAGUGUGGGUAUCAAACAGGAUUAGAUACCCUGGUAGUCCACACAGUAAACGAUGAAUACUCGCUGUUUGCGAUAUACAGUAAGCGGCCAAGCGAAAGCAUUAAGUAUUCCACCUGGGGAGUACGCCGGCAACGGUGAAACUCAAAGGAAUUGACGGGGGCCCGCACAAGCGGAGGAACAUGUGGUUUAAUUCGAUGAUACGCGAGGAACCUUACCCGGGCUUAAAUUGCAGUGGAAUGAUGUGGAAACAUGUCAGUGAGCAAUCACCGCUGUGAAGGUGCUGCAUGGUUGUCGUCAGCUCGUGCCGUGAGGUGUCGGCUUAAGUGCCAUAACGAGCGCAACCCUUAUCUUUAGUUACUAACAGGUCAUGCUGAGGACUCUAGAGAGACUGCCGUCGUAAGAUGUGAGGAAGGUGGGGAUGACGUCAAAUCAGCACGGCCCUUACGUCCGGGGCUACACACGUGUUACAAUGGGGGGUACAGAAGGCAGCUAGCGGGUGACCGUAUGCUAAUCCCAAAAGCCUCUCUCAGUUCGGAUCGAAGUCUGCAACCCGACUUCGUGAAGCUGGAUUCGCUAGUAAUCGCGCAUCAGCCACGGCGCGGUGAAUACGUUCCCGGGCCUUGUACACACCGCCCGUCAAGCCAUGGGAGCCGGGGGUACCUGAAGUACGUAACAGCAAGGAUCGUCCUAGGGUAAAACUGGUGACUGGGGCUA
RNAcentral lists this ribosomal RNA (1427 nucleotides) under uncultured organism. RNAcentral describes it as "SSU rRNA". It matches the Rfam family "Bacterial small subunit ribosomal RNA". The record is from RNAcentral.